GUACGUAGCAGAGCAGCUCCCUCG
RNAcentral lists this non-coding RNA (24 nucleotides) under Gallus gallus (chicken). The record is from RNAcentral. RNAcentral also lists the same sequence under 5 other names. Lineage: Eukaryota; Metazoa; Chordata; Aves; Galliformes; Phasianidae.